This 440-nucleotide ribosomal RNA is filed under the name uncultured bacterium. RNAcentral's name for it is "partial 16S ribosomal RNA". It matches the Rfam family "Bacterial small subunit ribosomal RNA", at positions 338 to 795 of the family's 1533-position model. The record is from RNAcentral.
CCUACGGGAGGCAGCAGUGGGGGAUAUUGCACAAUGGGGGGAACCCUGAAGCAGCGAUGCCGCGUGAGCGAAGAAGUACCUCGGUAUGUAAAGCUCUAUCAGCAGGGAAGAAAAUGACGGUACCUGACUAAGAAGCCACGGCUAAAUACGUGCCAGCAGCCGCGGUAAUACGGAGGGGGCAAGCGUUAUCCGGAUUUACUGGGUGUAAAGGGAGCGUAGACGGUGCGCCAAGUCAGGAGUGAAAUGCCGCAGCUUAACUGCGGAAUUGCAUUGGAAACUGGCGAACUAGAGUGCGGGAGGGGUAAGCGGAAUUCGUAGUGUAGCGGUGAAAUGUGUAGAUAUUAGGAGGAACACCGGUGGCGAAGGCGGCUUACUGGACCGUAACUGACGUUGAGGCUCGAAAGCGUGGGGAGCAAACAGGAUUAGAUACCCGGGUAGUC